AUACAUGACAAUAGAGUGUAUUUUGACAUGUUAUACAUAUAUGGUGUAUAACUUACUCAAAUUAGGAUCCCAUUCUUGUGGUUGCACAUAUGAGGAGUUGCACUGAUUGUGUAUUCAUAUAAGAACAUAGGAAAGUUAUAUCUGAUUGAUAAAUAAUAAUAACAUUGGGGACAAUUGAUUGACAAACUGAUAAAGACCUCAAUGAAUUCCACAGUCACUGCAAAAAUACUUUGUGAAUCACAAAAGUUCGUUGGUUUAUUUUGAACUUCCUUUAAGCCCAGAGCAGACAGAAGUCACCAAUGAUGCUUGAGUUCCAGUUUCAUGGCCAACACAUCAUGGGAACUUAAGGUCCUUGCUCCUGGGGCCAGCACAUGUUUAUCUCUCAUCCUCUGAAAAUAUCCAGAAGUUCAUCUGCUGCAAUAAUCUCUGAGACUAAUAGGACCCCACAGUAAUUAUCAGCUGGGAGUAAAGGAAAUGUGUGGUUUGUGCUUUUUGAAAGCCUCUUUGAUCUAAGUAUUUGACACACUCCAGUCCCCAGCCCUUUAUUACAGCAGGGGAACAGGAAUGGCACCAUCCGGGCACUUGGAGGCAAGCGAUAGCCACUGCUGGAAAAGAAAAGCCAAGUCAGAAAGUUAAAGUAUAUAACACAAGGGGAGAAUCAUAUAUUUGGGUGUUCUGACUUAAUGAAACUGAAUAAUUACAGUGUUUGGAAAAUAGCCAGUCAGCCCAUUUCAUUUUUCCUUUCAAAUAUCACAUAAUUCUAUCAAGAUUUUUAUCAAAAAACAAAAUGUGCAUACUGAUGACAUUCUUUUUAGUUCUAUCUGGACACAAUGCCUCUAUUUUUAUGUGGUGCUGAAGAUCGAACCCAGUGCCUCACAUGUGCUAGGCAAGCACUCCACCACUGAGCUACAUCUCUAGCCCCCUGAUGACAUUCAAGAUCAAGAUUGUCAAGAUCAACAGAGGUUCGGGCUGGGGUUGUGGCUCAGGUAGAUCGCUUGCCUAGCAUGUGUGAGACACUGGAUUCAAUUCUCAGCACUGCAUAUAAAU
This 1047-nucleotide long non-coding RNA is filed under the name Marmota monax (woodchuck). The record is from RNAcentral. Lineage: Eukaryota; Metazoa; Chordata; Mammalia; Rodentia; Sciuridae.